AGUGAACGCUAGCGGUAGGCCUAACACAUGCAAGUCGAACGGCAGCACAGUAAGAGUUUGCUCUUACGGGUGGCGCGUGGCGGACGGGUGCGGAAUACAUCGGAAUCUACUUUUUCGUGGGGGCCAACGUAGGGAAACUUAUGCUAAUACCGCCUACGGCCUACGGGUGAAAGCAGGGGUAAUUCGGUCCUUGCGCGAGAGAAUGAUGCGAUGGCGGAUUGGCUGGUUGGCGGGGUAAAGGACCAACAAGGCGACCAUUCGUAGCUGGGCUGAGAGGAUGAUCAGACACACUGGCACAGAGGCACGGUCCAGACGCCUACGGUAGGCAGCAGUGGGGAAUAUAGGACAAUUGGCGCAAGCCUGAUCCAGCCAUACCGCGUGGGUGAAGAAGGCCUUCGGGUUGUAAAGCCCUUCUGUUGUGAAAGAAGAGCAGCAAGUUAAUACCCCGCUGUUCUGACGGUACCCAAAGAAUAAGCACCGGCUAACUUCGUG
RNAcentral lists this ribosomal RNA (492 nucleotides) under uncultured bacterium. Its description in RNAcentral is "partial 16S ribosomal RNA". It matches the Rfam family "Bacterial small subunit ribosomal RNA", at positions 29 to 507 of the family's 1533-position model. The record is from RNAcentral.